This 329-nucleotide ribosomal RNA is filed under the name uncultured eukaryote. RNAcentral's name for it is "partial 18S ribosomal RNA". It matches the Rfam family "Eukaryotic small subunit ribosomal RNA", at positions 1470 to 1796 of the family's 1831-position model. The record is from RNAcentral.
CCCUUAGAUGUUCUGGGCCGCACGCGCGCUACACUGAUGCAUUCAACGAGUCUAAAACCUGCUCUGAUAGGGGUGGGUAAUCUUUUGAAUGUGCAUCGUGAUUGGGAUAGAUGAUUGCAAUUUUUCAUCUUCAACGAGGAAUGCCUAGUAAACGCAAGUCAUCAGCUUGCAUUGAUUACGUCCCUGCCCUUUGUACACACCGCCCGUCGCUCCUACCGAUUGAAUGACCCGAUGAAUAUCAUGGAUUGAGGAUGCAAGUAGGUUAGCCUAUCUUCAUCUUCGAGAAGUGAAGUAAAUCUUAUCAUUUAGAGGAAGGAGAAGUCGUAACA